Molecule: unclassified non-coding RNA, 215 nt
Filed under: Hevea brasiliensis (rubber tree)
Lineage: Eukaryota; Viridiplantae; Streptophyta; Magnoliopsida; Malpighiales; Euphorbiaceae
Source: RNAcentral
GAUUAAUCCUAUUUAUAAUAACAUGAAGAAAGAUGGGGUUGUUCCCAAUGUGUAUACUCAUAACAUUCUUUUGAAAGCAUUGUGCAAGAAUAAUAGGGUAGAUGGAGCUCUGAAGUUACUCAUGGAAAUGUCGAACAAGGUGUGUUCUCCUGAUGAAGUGAGCUAUACAACAAUUGUGUCUUCCUUGUGUAAGUUUGGUAAAGUAAGAGAAGCCA